GUGAAUCAUCGAAUCUUUGAACGCACAUUGCGCCCGCCAGUACUCUGGCGGGCAUGCCUGUUCGAGCGUCAUUUCAACCCUCAAACCCCCGGGUUUGGUGUUGGAGAUCGGCAUGAGUCCUUCGGGGCGACGCCGUCUCCCAAAUAUAGUGGCGGUCUCGCUGUAGCUUCCUAUGCGUAGUAGCACACCUCGCACUGGAAAACAGUUUGGCCACGCCGUUAAACCCCCAACUUUCUGAAGUUUGACCUCGAAUCAGGUAGGAUUACCCGCUGAACUUAAGCAUAUCAAUAAGCGGAGGA
RNAcentral lists this unclassified non-coding RNA (299 nucleotides) under Cylindrocladiella sp. Its description in RNAcentral is "partial contains 5.8S ribosomal RNA, internal transcribed spacer 2, and large subunit ribosomal RNA". The stretch from base 1 to 71 matches the Rfam family "5.8S ribosomal RNA", at positions 84 to 154 of the family's 154-position model. Lineage: Eukaryota; Fungi; Ascomycota; Sordariomycetes; Hypocreales; Nectriaceae. The record is from RNAcentral.